Molecule: long non-coding RNA, 381 nt
Filed under: Setaria viridis
Lineage: Eukaryota; Viridiplantae; Streptophyta; Magnoliopsida; Poales; Poaceae
Description: long non-coding RNA (SVIR_LNC007211)
Source: RNAcentral
CCGACUCUACCGAUUCCUAGCUGGAUAACUGGUGAUAAAGACUAGAAAAAACAGGUAGAAACCUAUGAAUCUAGCAAAUAUCGAUAACUAGUGAAUAAAUCUAAACGAAACAAUAGCGAUACGCCCGGAGUUAAAGCUUAGAUAUUACUCGAUAAACGGAACUUACAGAAUCGGCUGGAGAUCAAGGUGAUGCAGCCCUGCCAAUCCGCACGAACUCGUGGAAAAGAGAAAAGCAAUAGCGAAGUCGCUUGAAAGUAAGUACGAGGAAAAAAGUAGCUUGUUGUAUUGAUUUGUUGAUGAUUACAGAUUUACAAAGGUAGCUAUUUAUAGCCCCGUACAGAUAACUUCUUAACCGACUAGAAUCCUAUCUCUAAUUCAAAC